Molecule: long non-coding RNA, 3469 nt
Organism: Lolium perenne
Lineage: Eukaryota; Viridiplantae; Streptophyta; Magnoliopsida; Poales; Poaceae
Source: RefSeq, a predicted model, not a curated record
CCGGAGACUAUGUGUCCACUUUUCAUUUCCGUGUCAAAGAAUGGCAUAUCUUGUUUCAAAACUGAGUUGAGAUACAAAGAUCGAAUGCGAGCUGCCUGUCUCUCCCCAGUCAUGGUCCAGCAUGAUAUCUCUGGUUUGCAGAUUGAUACACAAGCAAAAGGGUACCUUGUUGACUCGCGGAAGGAUGGUGUCGGGGGUGGCACCCCCAAAGGCAUCGAUCAUCCGCCCAAAGAUGAUCGUCAUGACCACCUGUGACAUACCACUUCCAACCGCGGCAACCGUGCCGACCAGCAUCAGCACCAUGUCGGUAACAUCUGCGUUCUUGAACAUGUCAUGGAACGGCGCCUUGCCACCCUUGGUCAUCUUCUUCCUGCCUUUCUCCUCCCCUGCUUCUUCACCCUUCCCCAUGGUAUGCCUACCAGGCAACUGACUAGCUGUCUGUUUAUUGCUCUGGCUGUAAUGUAGAGAGUAGCGUAGCUUCUGCUUUUAUAGUGUCGUUGUCUUGUUAGUUAGCAGUUAACUGCAUUCACAAGAGUAACCAUAAAUGAGAUGUGGUUAAUAGUUGAGUAACAAAAGAAAUAACACAGAUAAUGUGUCCACAAGGUGUGAGGACAACAUAGAGACAAAUAGGAUAAUAAAACCAGCCAGAACAGCAACAUAUGGUUAGCGCUCACCCUUCACAGUGCACUCCUGCACAGAUGCGCUUAUAUCCUUCUGUUUGAAUAUUGCAUCAUCAUGCUUUUUCCUAUUUUUGUUGGAUUUUCCGGUGAACAUUAAACUCAAAAGGUGUUUGAAGAAAGUUUGUCAACAAUUUUGUUUUCAUCUUCAUUAUUCUUUUGAUUUAUUGUUUGAUGGAUUUUCUCAUUUUGUUACUCUUAACAUAGAACAGGUUGAAUUAUACACAAUAAAGAAGUUUCCAAAACUUCCAGGGCUGGAGCAAUUUCUGUCCCAAUCCAUAGUAGUCAGUAGAGCACUCGGAUGAUGUUUUGUGAGUGCACCUCUUAUUAGUGUAUACAUCUUUUUCAUGACGGGUGAAAGUGAUCUUGGCUGUGGCUGAAAGUGAUGUUGGUUGUUUAGCGGACAUGUGAAAGCCGGCUAUGACCAAAUCCAUGAUGACAGCUGCUGCAAUCUGAGAUCUUCACCGGGAAAGCAACAUCCCUCCAGGAACUCUUCUUCCUUGAGACCUUGACAGUUGACAGUGGCCUGAAGGAAAUUUUACUGCUAAUUUUAAUAUGGCCAGCUGUUUUAUUACUAACUGUUUACAUCAAAUCAUGACUAGGACAUUUGGCUGCUUCUGCCAGAUUUACUUGAUUUUUUCUUGAACAUUUUUCUAAUAUUAGUACCUCUCGUCGUCUGUGCCUGGCAGGAUUUACGAAUGUUCAGAUCUGGAAAUAGUUCGUCGCACGUUCGCAAUCUUGCAGCCGCCGGAGUAAUCCAAAUGGCAGAGCCCAGGAUCUAUGUUUUGAAUGGUUGGAGCAUCACCUCUUUUUGUGUCCUACUGCGUGUUGUCGUAUGUGAGAACGUCACCCAAAUGGCAUGGCCUGUUCUUCUUCUGCAGCUUAUUAUGCAGAUUCUGGCCGGCGUAAUGUGUACGACCUACGCCCCUUUGGCGAUGAUAUGUACAGUGGCUGAUAGCGCAGUCUUCCCUAUUUAGAAACAUGUAAUGCAUGCAUACAAAAUUAUGUGGGGAUUAAAGUUUAAUUGGAGCAGCUUGUGGAUAAGAGGUGCAUCUAAUAAAAUUUAGAGAAAACCUUCCGAUCAGCUUAUCAGUUGAGAAAACAAAAACCUUUUUCUUUGGGGUCAGUCUCUUCCAUGUUAGGCGCGUAUUAAAAAAUGAUUUUUAUUACUCCCUCUGACACAUUAUUUGCCACUAAAAUGGAUGUAUGUACAAUUAAAGUAUGUCUAGAUACAUCUAUUGGUAGUAAUAUAAAUCGGAGGGAGUAUUUUCAAAAGUUCAACUGAAAAUGAUCUUUCUUACGGAGUAUUUUUUUAAUCAAAAUCUAACCUUUCUGCUCAAUGUCAUCCUCUCCAGCCCAAAAAAGUAGAGGCGUGAGACUUCAGAUUUGUUUUAUGACGGCAGACUAUUGUGUUUGACUGUUUGAAUCGUGGAAUGCGAGUUGAGCCUGGCCCAGUUGAGCCCAAGGGUUGGGCCGCACGCCUGCACCUCAUCAGCCAAAAAUCCCCGACCGCGCCGCCGCCGGGCGCCCAUCUCUACCGUAGCUCGCCGGCGCAACUUCGCCGACCCCGUGCCACAGGAUAGCCCUGCGUACGAUCUAUCCCAUCAGCAAGCGCAGGCCUCGCCCUCCGGUUCGCGUUCGCCGCGAACGCGACGCCGCACUGGAUGGCGCGCCGCCGGUGUAGUGCCACGGAGGACCUGCUCCCGGAGGAAUGCAGCCGGAGCCUGGCGUCGCACAUGGCCUGGCUAGCUGGAUCCUUUACGGCCGAGCCGCUGCCUGCCCGACGAGUCCAUGGGGUUGCAUUUUUGUCACGCCGCAGCCGUCCAUCUCCGGCGUCCGCGCCAGGCUUGCAGAUUCAUGAAGAAUCAGAAUGGUACCUUGUUUACUCGGGGAAGGAUGGUGCCGGGGGUUGCGCCCCCAAAGGCAUCGACCACCUGCCCGAAGAUGAUGGCCAUGAUCACCUGUGACAUGCCGCUCGCAAGUGCGCCGAGUGUGCCAACCAGCAUCAGCACCACGUCCAUGGCGUCCGCGUUCCUGAAAAGGUCAUGGAACGGCGCCUUGCCACCCUUGGCCAUCUUUUUCGAGCCAUUCUCCUCGUCUGCUCCGCUCAUCACUCCGUCAGCGGCUCUUGCACUGGUUGUGUCUACCAUGCUAUCCCUACCUGGUGCUUGGCUAACUGUCGCCUUAUUACUUAGCAGGCAGCUGCAUAGUCGAGUAACAAAAGGAAAAUGGCAUAGAUAAUGUGUCAACAGGAUGUGUGGACAACCUAGAGACGACCACUAUGAUAAGUCCAGGUCCGGCAAUUAGCAUGACCGAAUGCAUGGUGAUAGCCACUAGAAUCUGAGAUCUUUUUGACCGUGGGUUGGAAAUUUGGAAGCACCGUCCCUUGGGGACUCUUAUUGGUUGACUGCAGACUGGAGACAUUUUGAAGCUAAUGUAAUACGCCCAGUUGUCUUCAGCAGCUCUUUACGUCAGCUGAUGGCUAAGACAUUUCGGCAGAGUUUGCCCAAACAUAAUCGCAGGUUAUAUCUGGUCCGUGAUUUCCGGUGGUAUUUCUCGUGCGCUUGAAGUUGCCGGUUCGCUAGCUGCAAGCCAGAGCUCUUGCAAAAUUUCUAUGCUGAAGGAUAUUACUUUUCAUCGAGGUUCUAGAUGCUGAGAUAUGUUAAGGACUGGGAGGUGCAAAUCUACGAGCGGUAGGACUGGCAGAUCCUGGUUUAUAUGCACUGCUGAAUGUUGAUCUUCAUCGUUCCUCAGUCUUAUCCUGAGGAAUUUAAAGUGGAAGUCAUUUUCAU